GCGUCGUGUCGGCCUGGCAAGUCACGGGUGACGGACCAAGGGCAGCCCGCGAGGAUCGGGGUGUUUGUCGGAGGGUGAGUGGGCUACAAAGCUGUGGGCCUUCUUCAUCUGCCUCUACGUCCUGUAUUUAUUUAUUUGUUUUUUCCCGGAGCUCUGAAGGUAUGCGCACGCUUUGCACGCCGCCUCUGGAGGCUAGGAAUUGCCUUUUGCUCCUGAGGCCAGUGAAGGAGAAACAGCAGCCUGAGCAUGGCUUACCCGUGACCAACAAGGCGAGGAGCAGUUCACACCUCCUCUUGCCAAGCUCCAUCAGAAUGUGUUGCAUGAGCUUCCUACUGAAGGGGACACUCCAGAAAGAACUGCCUUUCAGAACUUGAAGUCGAACCAGUAUUGCCGAAAGUAUCAGCAUUUAUGUCAGUCUUACUUUUCUCAUUUCAGUAGUUCAGAUUUCAUGGAAAAUUCUUUGAGAUCCUCAGCACGUGGAAGAUUAGAGUCAGUAAUUUAGUAUUAUAAUAAGGAGUAAUUAGGGCCUUUCAUAGAUACCAGAAGGUGAUCAAGGAAAACUCUCUUCUUCCUUUGCAAGUCUUGUGUAGUGCUAUCAGGAUUAAAGGAAGCGCAACUCAUGGUUAAUGAAGUUUUUACUCUUCUAUUAAAAUAAAACUUAAUCUCUUAAAAUGCUGUCCCUUUUGCCUUUCAUACAUAAUUUCUGUCCCGACUUCGUCUAUUUUAGCAUAAUCAUAUGCCAUACGUAGCCCAGACAAACAUUUUUAGAUUUUAUUAAUUUUAAAAUAUUGUGAAGUAGACACGCAAGUGUAUCCUCUCUAUAUAUUGACAGCCUAAGUCAUGUAGCUGUAAAUUCAUCUUAGACUCUUUCCACUAACACAUUGAACACAAUGACCUUACAGGAAAAUAACUAUCGGUGUUUCAGUGUGGCAAUGCUGCAGCUUUUCAGUUAGGAUUAUUAAAAAGCUCAAACAGUAAUCUCCUAGAAGUGCAGAAUGGCAGUCAUUUUAGAUACCAUUUUUUUGGACUCCGGUUUAAGAGGGUGAUUUGUAACAGUAGAUGGUGGAGUGAUUAAUGAGAUCUCUGUAGAUUUUUGCAUAGCUUCCUACCUAAAGGGGAAAAAAAAAAACCCCAACACAAAACAGUAAGGACAGAUUAGUUGUGUGCCUUUCACCUCUUCCUGUAAAAUGUUACAUGGACUCCGAAAGGUUUUAUUUUGAAUGAUAGCCAUUUCAGCAAGAAUUUUAGCAGAUGCAGAGGAUGUUCAAGAAACUUCUGAAAGUUCCUUAUGUUCUGCUUUGUAAAGUCUGUUAGGCACACUUGGCACAAGCUAUGAAUCUGACCCUAAUUUUCAAGCAUUUGAAAGGUCCAAGUAAAAUGACAUUUCCGUAAUACUUUUAUUCUUUCCCUUUUUUCCAAGUGUAUAUUAAGUACGCAUCU
Molecule: long non-coding RNA, 1440 nt
Organism: Aptenodytes forsteri (emperor penguin)
Lineage: Eukaryota; Metazoa; Chordata; Aves; Sphenisciformes; Spheniscidae
Exons: 3
Source: RefSeq, a predicted model, not a curated record